RNAcentral lists this ribosomal RNA (444 nucleotides) under uncultured Thiobacillus sp. RNAcentral describes it as "bacterial SSU rRNA". It matches the Rfam family "Bacterial small subunit ribosomal RNA", at positions 933 to 1382 of the family's 1533-position model. The record is from RNAcentral. Lineage: Bacteria; Pseudomonadati; Pseudomonadota; Betaproteobacteria; Nitrosomonadales; Thiobacillaceae.
UGGAUGAUGUGGAUAAUUCGAUGCAACGCGAAGAACCUUACCUACCCUUGACAUGUCCGGAACUUGCCAGAGAUGGCUUGGUGCCCGAAAGGGAAUCGGAACACAGGUGCUGCAUGGCUGUCGUCAGCUCGUGUCGUGAGAUGUUGGGUUAAGUCCCGCAACGAGCGCAACCCUUAUCAUUAGUUGCUACGCAAGGGCACUCUAAUGAGACUGCCGGUGACAAACCGGAGGAAGGUGGGGAUGACGUCAAGUCCUCAUGGCCCUUAUGGGUAGGGCUUCACACGUCAUACAAUGGUCGGUACAGAGGGUUGCCAAGCCGCGAGGCGGAGCCAAUCCCACAAAGCCGAUCGUAGUCCGGAUUGUUCUCUGCAACUCGAGAGCAUGAAGUCGGAAUCGCUAGUAAUCGCAGGUCAGCAUACUGCGGUGAAUACGUUCCCGGGUCUU